GAGCCAUCUAGCAGGUCUAUCUUCUAUUCUACUCUAUUCUUUGCUUUAUUUAGUCCGUAGGUCUGUUAUGUUUUCAACACACAGUCUUUCUCUGCUUUCCUCAAUUAGCCCUUGGUUGGUUGGUUGCAGUUCUUCCUCCAAGGGUUCCCCAGGAGGAGCUUGAAGCGAUGUGGGGAGGCGGGAGAUACAUCUUCUAUGCACACAAAGGACCUAGCCAAAGCCCUGACCUUCAGCUGAUUUCAGCCGUCAAAACACAGCUUGAGUCUGUGAUGGAGGAGGAUGUGUCCAGAAUGCACAGCUUGGAGACCAGCCUGCUCACCUGGCCAAACUUCUAUUCCUGGAGGAUCUUCCUGGCUAAACCCAUUGACCCAAGGAGGUCCAGAAACAUGAGGCACAGAGAUAGCCUAGCUGACCUGAAGAUCUACAGCAAGAAAUAGAGCAGAGCCACCCAGCCCAGCUCAAUCAGAUGAACCCAGCCAACCUACAAGUGUGAAUGGAGACUGUUAAGCUUUGAGGAUGACUGUCACACAGCAGUACUGUUGCCAUUUCUGAAUUGUCACUUGUGGGGAUUUAGUUUGAGUGUCUGUGUCCCUAGCAAAACUCUUAAGGGCUCCAAUGAAAAGAUGACCUACUUCCUGGUUGGGCCACCGCCUUCCCAGGCCCAGGCUGGGACUUCCUCUCCCACAGCCACACAGUAAGGGGCACAGAACCAUGCCCAUGGAGUGGCCAGGAGCCAUGCAAAUGAUACUCAUGGCUUCUUACAUUAACCAAGCCCUCUUUUCCCCUGCCACACCCGGUCUCCAAAAUAUCUCCAGCUUUUCACAAUUAGCACUGAGCCAUAGACCCAGGAGUCCCUUCAUAGCUAUUAUUUGAAUAAAUGAAUCCGUGG
Molecule: long non-coding RNA, 889 nt
Filed under: Fukomys damarensis (Damara mole-rat)
Lineage: Eukaryota; Metazoa; Chordata; Mammalia; Rodentia; Bathyergidae
Description: lncRNA (ENSFDAG00000023705.1)
Source: RNAcentral